CCGGGAUGAGUAAAGCGGCGGACGGGUGAGUAACACGUGAGUUACCACCUUUUAGUGAAGAAUAACUUCGAGAAAUCGAAGCUAAUGCUGCAUAAUUCUUUCGAGACAAAGGUGGCUUUAGCUACCGCUAAAAGAUGGGCUUGCGGACUAUUAGCUAGUUGGUGAGGUAAUGGCCCACCAAGGCUUUGAUGGUUAACCGGCCUGAGAGGGUGUACGGUCACAUUGGAACUGAGAUACGGUCCAG
This 244-nucleotide ribosomal RNA is filed under the name uncultured bacterium. RNAcentral's name for it is "partial 16S ribosomal RNA". It matches the Rfam family "Bacterial small subunit ribosomal RNA", at positions 81 to 334 of the family's 1533-position model. The record is from RNAcentral.